This 2049-nucleotide ribosomal RNA is filed under the name Escherichia coli. Its description in RNAcentral is "partial 23S ribosomal RNA". It matches the Rfam family "Bacterial large subunit ribosomal RNA", at positions 911 to 2925 of the family's 2925-position model. The record is from RNAcentral. Lineage: Bacteria; Pseudomonadati; Pseudomonadota; Gammaproteobacteria; Enterobacterales; Enterobacteriaceae.
UGUUUCGGCAAGGGGGUCAUCCCGACUUACCAACCCGAUGCAAACUGCGAAUACCGGAGAAUGUUAUCACGGGAGACACACGGCGGGUGCUAACGUCCGUCGUGAAGAGGGAAACAACCCAGACCGCCAGCUAAGGUCCCAAAGUCAUGGUUAAGUGGGAAACGAUGUGGGAAGGCCCAGACAGCCAGGAUGUUGGCUUAGAAGCAGCCAUCAUUUAAAGAAAGCGUAAUAGCUCACUGGUCGAGUCGGCCUGCGCGGAAGAUGUAACGGGGCUAAACCAUGCACCGAAGCUGCGGCAGCGACGCUUAUGCGUUGUUGGGUAGGGGAGCGUUCUGUAAGCCUGUGAAGGUGUGCUGUGAGGCAUGCUGGAGGUAUCAGAAGUGCGAAUGCUGACAUAAGUAACGAUAAAGCGGGUGAAAAGCCCGCUCGCCGGAAGACCAAGGGUUCCUGUCCAACGUUAAUCGGGGCAGGGUGAGUCGACCCCUAAGGCGAGGCCGAAAGGCGUAGUCGAUGGGAAACAGGUUAAUAUUCCUGUACUUGGUGUUACUGCGAAGGGGGGACGGAGAAGGCUAUGUUGGCCGGGCGACGGUUGUCCCGGUUUAAGCGUGUAGGCUGGUUUUCCAGGCAAAUCCGGAAAAUCAAGGCUGAGGCGUGAUGACGAGGCACUACGGUGCUGAAGCAACAAAUGCCCUGCUUCCAGGAAAAGCCUCUAAGCAUCAGGUAACAUCAAAUCGUACCCCAAACCGACACAGGUGGUCAGGUAGAGAAUACCAAGGCGCUUGAGAGAACUCGGGUGAAGGAACUAGGCAAAAUGGUGCCGUAACUUCGGGAGAAGGCACGCUGAUAUGUAGGUGAAGUCCCUUGCGGAUGGAGCUGAAAUCAGUCGAAGAUACCAGCUGGCUGCAACUGUUUAUUAAAAACACAGCACUGUGCAAACACGAAAGUGGACGUAUACGGUGUGACGCCUGCCCGGUGCCGGAAGGUUAAUUGAUGGGGUCAGCGCAAGCGAAGCUCUUGAUCGAAGCCCCGGUAAACGGCGGCCGUAACUAUAACGGUCCUAAGGUAGCGAAAUUCCUUGUCGGGUAAGUUCCGACCUGCACGAAUGGCGUAAUGAUGGCCAGGCUGUCUCCACCCGAGACUCAGUGAAAUUGAACUCGCUGUGAAGAUGCAGUGUACCCGCGGCAAGACGGAAAGACCCCGUGAACCUUUACUAUAGCUUGACACUGAACAUUGAGCCUUGAUGUGUAGGAUAGGUGGGAGGCUUUGAAGUGUGGACGCCAGUCUGCAUGGAGCCGACCUUGAAAUACCACCCUUUAAUGUUUGAUGUUCUAACGUUGACCCGUAAUCCGGGUUGCGGACAGUGUCUGGUGGGUAGUUUGACUGGGGCGGUCUCCUCCUAAAGAGUAACGGAGGAGCACGAAGGUUGGCUAAUCCUGGUCGGACAUCAGGAGGUUAGUGCAAUGGCAUAAGCCAGCUUGACUGCGAGCGUGACGGCGCGAGCAGGUGCGAAAGCAGGUCAUAGUGAUCCGGUGGUUCUGAAUGGAAGGGCCAUCGCUCAACGGAUAAAAGGUACUCCGGGGAUAACAGGCUGAUACCGCCCAAGAGUUCAUAUCGACGGCGGUGUUUGGCACCUCGAUGUCGGCUCAUCACAUCCUGGGGCUGAAGUAGGUCCCAAGGGUAUGGCUGUUCGCCAUUUAAAGUGGUACGCGAGCUGGGUUUAGAACGUCGUGAGACAGUUCGGUCCCUAUCUGCCGUGGGCGCUGGAGAACUGAGGGGGGCUGCUCCUAGUACGAGAGGACCGGAGUGGACGCAUCACUGGUGUUCGGGUUGUCAUGCCAAUGGCACUGCCCGGUAGCUAAAUGCGGAAGAGAUAAGUGCUGAAAGCAUCUAAGCACGAAACUUGCCCCGAGAUGAGUUCUCCCUGACUCCUUGAGAGUCCUGAAGGAACGUUGAAGACGACGACGUUGAUAGGCCGGGUGUGUAAGCGCAGCGAUGCGUUGAGCUAACCGGUACUAAUGAACCGUGAGGCUUAACCUUACAACGCCGAAG